This 408-nucleotide ribosomal RNA is filed under the name uncultured Methanosaeta sp. RNAcentral describes it as "bacterial SSU rRNA". It matches the Rfam family "Archaeal small subunit ribosomal RNA", at positions 929 to 1338 of the family's 1478-position model. Lineage: Archaea; Methanobacteriati; Methanobacteriota; Methanomicrobia; Methanotrichales; Methanotrichaceae. The record is from RNAcentral.
ACCGGGCGGACAGCAUAUGAAGGUCAGGCUGAAGACCUUACCCGAUUAGCUGAGAGGUGGUGCAUGGCCGUCGUCAGUUCGUACUGUGAAGCAUCCUGUUAAGUCAGGCAACGAGCGAGACCCACGUCCACAGUUGCCAGCAUACCCUCCGGGGUGAUGGGUACACUGUGGAGACCGCCGCUGCUAAAGCGGAGGAAGGAGUGGGCAACGGUAGGUCAGUAUGCCCCGAAUCUCCCGGGCUACACGCGGGCUACAAUGGUUGGUACAAUGGGCAUCUACCCCGAAAGGGGAAGGAAAUCUCUUAAAGCCAAUCGUAGUUCGGAUUGAGGGCUGCAACUCGCCCUCAUGAAGCUGGAAUCCGUAGUAAUCGCGUUUCAACAGAACGCGGUGAAUACGUCCCUGCUCCUU